RNAcentral lists this ribosomal RNA (430 nucleotides) under Bacteroidota bacterium. RNAcentral describes it as "Bacteroidetes bacterium partial 16S ribosomal RNA". It matches the Rfam family "Bacterial small subunit ribosomal RNA", at positions 355 to 776 of the family's 1533-position model. The record is from RNAcentral. Lineage: Bacteria; Pseudomonadati; Bacteroidota.
UAGGGAAUCUUCGGCAAUGGGGGGAACCCUGACCGAGCAACGCCGCGUGAGUGAAGAAGGUUUUCGGAUCGUAAAGCUCUGUUGUUAAGGAAGAACGAGUGUGAGAAUGGAAAGUUCAUGCUGUGACGGUACUUAACCAGAAAGGGACGGCUAACUACGUGCCAGCAGCCGCGGUAAUACGUAGGUGGCAAGCGUUGUCCGGAUUUAUUGGGCGUAAAGCGAGCGCAGGCGGUCAAUUAAGUCUGAUGUGAAAGCCCCCGGCUCAACCGGGGAGGGUCAUUGGAAACUGGUUGACUUGAGUGCGGAAGAGGAGAGUGGAAUUCCAUGUGUAGCGGUGAAAUGCGUAGAGAUAUGGAGGAACACCAGUGGCGAAGGCGACUCUCUGGUCUGUAACUGACGCUGAGGCUCGAAAGCGUGGGUAGCAAACAGG